ACCCAUGAUGACUGACAUUUCUUCACUUUGACCUGAUGUUUGUUGAAGAAACAUGAUGUCUGAGG
Echinops telfairi (small Madagascar hedgehog) is the source of this 65-nucleotide small nucleolar RNA. The record is from Ensembl. NCBI's taxonomy places the organism in Eukaryota, Metazoa, Chordata, Mammalia, Afrosoricida, Tenrecidae.